CACAGUCAUGUGGGUAGAACUGAAGACAAAUCAGACAGUCUGUUGGUCAUAAUGGUAGCCACUGUGCUGGGGGCAAGGACACAAAAGACAGUCCCCCCAGAGCUUCUUGUUUGGCUUAAGAAGAAGACAGAGUCACCUGAACAUGCACGCUGGAUGCAGGUGACACCAUUUGAAUUGUCACAGGCUGAACAUCGUGGAGGAUGA
RNAcentral lists this long non-coding RNA (204 nucleotides) under Ictidomys tridecemlineatus (thirteen-lined ground squirrel). RNAcentral's name for it is "lncRNA (ENSSTOG00000034275.1)". The record is from RNAcentral. Lineage: Eukaryota; Metazoa; Chordata; Mammalia; Rodentia; Sciuridae.